RNAcentral lists this ribosomal RNA (523 nucleotides) under Ochthebius salinator. RNAcentral's name for it is "partial 16S ribosomal RNA". It matches the Rfam family "Bacterial large subunit ribosomal RNA", at positions 1819 to 2618 of the family's 2925-position model. Lineage: Eukaryota; Metazoa; Arthropoda; Insecta; Coleoptera; Hydraenidae. The record is from RNAcentral.
GUCUUUUUGAUUAUAAUUUAAAGUCUGACCUGCCCAAUGAAUUUUUAAAUGGCCGCGGUAUUUUGACCGUGCAAAGGUAGCAUAAUCAUUAGUUUUUUAAUUGAAAGCUGGAAUGAAUGGUUGGACGAGAAAAUUACUGUCUCAAUUUAAUUUAAUUAGAAUUUUAUUUUUAAGUUAAAAAGCUUAAAUUUAUUUAAAAGACGAGAAGACCCUAUAGAGUUUUAUAUAUAUUUAAUUAAUUUUUUUUAUAAUCUAUUAUAAUUAAUAUUAUAUUUUAUUGGGGUGAUAAAUAAAUUUAAUAAACUUUAUUUAAUUAUUUACAUUUAUUUAUGAUUUAUUGAUCCAUUAUUUAUGAUUAUAAGAUUAAAUUACCUUAGGGAUAACAGCGUAAUUUUUUUAGAGAGUUCAAAUCGAAAAAAAAGAUUGCGACCUCGAUGUUGGAUUAAAGUUAAUUUUUGGUGUAGAAGCUAAAAUAUUGAGUCUGUUCGACUUUUGAAACUUUACAUGAUCUGAGUUCAGACCG